GUGGUUGGAGGACUGAAUCAGUUUGAGCUCAACAUUUUAAUGGACUGGAAUAUAACAGUACAUAUUCAGAUGGAGUUAUCUUUCUAAAAUGUGUAUAGUAUGCCAAGUUAUUUAGCUACAUGAAUUUCCCACAACAGUAUAGAGAAAGUCAAAAGGAAGCAGUGGAGUGAGGUGGACAUGUUCCAAGCCAUGGAGGAGUGCAGGGCAGGGAUGGCUAUCUGCCGGGCUGCCAAGGUGCAUGGUGUACCUCGGCAGAACCUGGCGGAAGGGCUGGGCGGCCGGGUGACCAUGGUUGUUGCAGUGGACCGCCCACAUUGCUUGCACCAGAGGAUUACGAUUAUCUGGUGCAGUACUGUAUCUACUGUGCCAGCUAUUGGUUCAGCUUCACCAGACAGAGGCUGAUGAAAUACGCCGACAAACUAUGCAAGUAUUUGGUGUUUUAUGUGUUCAUGUAUGUAGAAUGCUGGGCUGACUGUUCUUAAUGUAUGUGAUGCCAAAAUAAACAUCAUCCUGGAUGGACAAUUUAUAUUCUAUUCUAGGUUUCGGCACCCAAGGGAGACAAUCACACCAUUGGGGAAGAGGUGACGGGAAAUGUUCAGGAGGAGGCCAGGCACCCUGGACGGGGGGAGCUGAGCGUGCCAUCCGUCUGACUAUGGACACCUUCUUCACUUCUUAUGAGAAGCAAUUGGAGGAGAGCGGGUUGAGGGAGAAACCCAGACAAAUCUAUAACUGCGAUGAGUCUGGGUUUUGUAGCGGCCAGAGCAGACACAGGUGCCAGAGCAGGUACAAGGGCGCAAAACACGUGAACCCGCAGGCUCCAGGGGCCAAGGAGCAUAUCACAGUGCUUUAACACAGCUGGGGAGGACCUCCCCCUAUUUAUCAUCUACCCCAAGUGUUUCCCCGGUGGCCACUACACACUGGGAGGCCCCCCCCCCCAAGCCUUGUAUGGACAGUCAAACAGUGGCUACAUCGACGGGGACCUGUUCUGGAACUUGUUUCAGCACUUUAUCAAGCAUGCUGUUGGGUUGUAAUUUGAAAUACUUGCUACACCUUAAGUUAAUGGUUAUAUGUUGGAGGAAUGUAUAUGGUCGGGUCAAUGGAGGUGGAUAUGAACCAGGGCUUGGAGAGUUACUAAGUAAGGGAAAAGGCAAUCACAUGGUCACUGAUGAGGAUGGAUAGCUGUGGAUUAGUGAGGAAUGGGGGCCGAGGUUAGGUCAGGUCACAUGAAGGGAGAAGGAACAGUUUAUUACCCACAUCACUUAACGUCCUGCCUAGCAACAAAGAUGUAGUGUUUAGAGAAAAGGAGGAGACUCCGCCUAAAAGGGGGAGGGGGGUAUAAACACUUUUGCUGAUGGAAACAUGUAUUUUUUUAUGCAGCUGUGUGACCCGGAGGGUGAAUAAACUUGCUUUGAGCUUUACUAGUCA
Molecule: long non-coding RNA, 1425 nt
Organism: Salmo salar (Atlantic salmon)
Lineage: Eukaryota; Metazoa; Chordata; Actinopteri; Salmoniformes; Salmonidae
Source: RefSeq, a predicted model, not a curated record